Molecule: ribosomal RNA, 902 nt
Filed under: uncultured bacterium
Lineage: Bacteria
Description: bacterial SSU rRNA
Rfam family: Bacterial small subunit ribosomal RNA
Source: RNAcentral
AGAGUUUGAUCCUGGCUCAGGAUGAACGCUAGCUACAGGCUUAACACAUGCAAGUCGAGGGGAAACGACAUCGAAAGCUUGCUUUUGAUGGGCGUCGACCGGCGCACGGGUGAGUAACGCGUAUCCAACCUGCCCACCACUUGGGAAUAACCUUGCGAAAGUAAGACUAAUACCCAAUGACGUCUCUAGAAGACAUCUGAAGGAGAUUAAAGAUUUAUCGGUGAUGGAUGGGGAUGCGUCUGAUUAGCUUGUUGGCGGGGUAACGGCCCACCAAGGCGACGAUCAGUAGGGGUUCUGAGAGGAAGGUCCCCCACAUUGGAACUGAGACACGGUCCAAACUCCUACGGGAGGCAGCAGUGAGGAAUAUUGGUCAAUGGACGAGAGUCUGAACCAGCCAAGUAGCGUGCAGGAUGACGGCCCUAUGGGUUGUAAACUGCUUUUAUAAGGGAAUAAAGUGAGCCUCGUGAGGCUUUUUGCAUGUACCUUAUGAAUAAGGACCGGCUAAUUCCGUGCCAGCAGCCGCGGUAAUACGGAAGGUCCGGGCGUUAUCCGGAUUUAUUGGGUUUAAAGGGAGCGUAGGCCGGAGAUUAAGCGUGUUGUGAAAUGUAGACGCUCAACGUCUGCACUGCAGCGCGAACUGGUUUCCUUGAGUACGCACAAAGUGGGCGGAAUUCGUGGUGUAGCGGUGAAAUGCUUAGAUAUCACGAAGAACUCCGAUUGCGAAGGCAGCUCACUGGAGCGCAACUGACGCUGAAGCUCGAAAGUGCGGGUAUCGAACAGGAUUAGAUACCCUGGUAGUCCGCACGGUAAACGAUGGAUGCCCGCUGUUGGUCUGAAUAGGUCAGCGGCCAAGCGAAAGCAUUAAGCAUCCCACCUGGGGAGUACGCCGGCAACGGUGAAAC